GCUCUUUCUCCUGUGAUCAUCGGCAUGAUAGGAGGCGAGUGAGGAACUCAGUGUCUUCUGACACAGGCAUCUCACAACACCAGUGCAGCCGGACCGUUGUCUGGUAGGUCUCUGUGCACCCAGGAGGACCUGGGCCUGCGAGAAGUCUGGGGCCCACUGCUGGGUAUGCUCGUUUCUUGAGCAUCCGAGUCACCUUUACAGUCUGCGAUGAUUGACGAGGUCAAACAGGACUCACUUGCAUUGCCGGGUCUCUGUGGCGACAGGGAGGACUUGGAGGAGAGGUGCCCGAUGAGCUCCCAGUCAUGUGGUUCAGGGCGGGCUCUGGAAGACUCACAGAGGAGACUCCUCCGAGAAACCAAGAAGGUUUCUGUCCAAGUCGGGAUCUGCUCUGCUCAGGAUGCUCCUCCAACACACACAGUGAAAAACUGAGCACCUAGAGAGCAACACCAAAAACCCAUGGCCAAUAAUGGAGAGCCAAAUCAGGAGAGCAUUCAGCAAAGCAAUUCUUGCUGUAGAAGGAACAGCACAAAAAGCUGGAAGGAAACUGAGGCAUGCGUGAAAGAUAACUUGUCAGUGUUUGCAGUCUACUGAGAUCCCCGCUGCAAGAAAAGGCAGGAUUUCCACUUGCUUCUUGGCCCGCCUCUGUUGUCCAGAAUCCAGGACAGGUGACAAGAGAAGCAGAUGUGAUCUGCACAAGCUGGCUCAGCUGGGUUGGGAGUUGCUCUUCCUGGACAGGCCGGGAAGGGUGCUGGAGGGGAGGGAGGAGGAGAGAGGUUUUAGGGGAGGGGUGCUGAGCAGUCAGGGACCUGUAAGGUCACAUUUCUUUCAGGUAUUCUUUCUAGGUGUACUGAAUGGGAACAUUGUCUGUCAUCCCUAGACUGCAUUAAAGACCUAAACUGCUUCCAUUUAUCUUUGGUUGUUGGACUGAAGUUUCUAAUGUACCUGGUGACACAGAGCACAGCUCUGUGUUUUUAUGGGUUGCUUAGUUCAAGAUCUGGAUGAAAGAAGCCUGAACCCAUUUUUGUGCAAAAGCCUAAGGGUGUACAGCAGGGAUGCUCAAACUUUUGUUUUUAUAAGAACCCACUUUUAUAUUAAGUAGGUUUUCUGUGUGUGAGAAGAAAUGCUUGAACAUGGAAAUGAAAAGUUCUAACUGUAGGAUGGAGUUUACAGGCUCAACUCUAAGCUUUCAGAAAGCAUCUCUUGAAAAUAAAAUCUUGGAUGUUGUAGCAAGUGCUGUGUACAUGCUCUUCAGCUCCUAGCCCCAUCCUACUACUGUGAAAGUGCAUGCCUGUAAACUGCCACCCUCCAGCAUCUUUUUCUGGCCAUUAGAGCCUGAUUUUCCUGAAGAUUCAGCAGGUUGGAAUGCCAGAGAAGUAAUGCCCUACCUGCACCCAGCAGUGUUCCACCAGUGGCUAUGGGAGUGGCUCACACACUCCAGCUACCUUCCUUCAUGGGACUGGAACCUGGAGUUCCCAAGAGGGAUUAGGCUCUAGUUGUCCAUGGGGCAGCUGUUUUACUGUCACCUUCCCUGUCCUGUCUCUCUUCCUGUCUCCACUCCCUACAGUGCUCCCAGAGAUAACUUCCCAAAUUUGCUGCCUGCCCUUGGAUGUUAUUUUAGGGUUGGCUUCUGAAGGAACAUAAACGAAGACAGACAGAUGUGCUGGGUAGCUAUGUGUAAGAUCACACUGAAACAUAGCCAAGAACAAGGCACUCAGCCACUCCCAGGUUUAAAAUCAAGUUUCCUACUUUGUCUCUCUGGUCUGAAUCUGAGUGAAAGCCCAGGCUCCUGCGUCACCUGGGCCACCUAAGGAUCUCCCUCCAGCCUCUGGGUGCUGAAGCUCCACCUGCCCUCACCACAUCACAGGAAACCGCGAGCACAUCCUCCUGCCUUCUCCAGCAGUCUCUUCAGUGAGCGCCUGCAGAACUGCAUCUAGAGCACCGGGCCAAUAUUGUCACCUUCCCUGUCAUGGCUUCCUUCCUGUCUCCACUCCCUACAGUACUCCUGAGAGCCGGGAGCACUCCCUGGAGCACUCCCUGAUUCGUUUUAUCUUCUGCACAACUGUUUGGCUGGAAUAGGAAGCAAAUGGCAUGGAAUUUGCAUAUGAAAAGCCAUUCCCACCUGUGUCCUUGUGUCUGUAAGGAUAGGAGGAUCCAAUCUUCUUAUCUGACCAGCCCUGUCAACACCUUCAUCUUGUUUCACAUUUGUGAAGGUCGGGGAGGCAUCUGGAGCUUCUUGAUGUGUCAGCUCGGAAUGCUGCCUGUGGGCUGGGUCGGCUUCAGGCCUGCAGGUCAAGAGAGAAGCACAGACAAAGGCACCACAGAGAUGCACAGUGACACUCAAAGAGGCAGCGAGACAGAGAUGAAGGCGUCGUGCUGUGAGAGCCAUCGCCCGGCAGCAUCCCCUCUCCUGGGUGUGAAUUAUGUCCUCCAAGGGCCUCAGCCACUGCAGCUUGAAAGUUACUUUUAUGCUAUUUCCUUAAAACCAACAAGAACACUUGACAUUUCUAGGAGGCUUUGAGUAGAGAACACUGGUGGUUCUCGUUGGUUGUGUAACUCUGCCAGGAAUUUAGAAUAUUGUUAGAAUCUUUAUUACAUUUCAGCCUGAUAAGGAGAUGAAAUAGCUAAUGAAUCCACUAAAAAAACUGCCAAGUAGCAAAGCUGGAAACUUUGGCCUUUGGUUGUCGUAUAAUAACACACCCCAGGCACAGAAGGUUUAGCACAUUUUUCCUUACUAAAACACAAAACAACAACACCAAUAACCCAAUGAGGAGUCUUCAACUCCUCCCACCCCAUAGCCCUGGGCUGUUCAUCUGCAAGUCAUUGUGUUAAUAGUUUUUGUUUGUUUGUUUUUUAGCAUUUGGUCUUCUAGAUUUGCUUAGAAAUCCAUGGAUUGGGGCAAGCCACGGGGAGCAGUGCCGUGCCUUUGCCUUUGUUGUGUGGAGUGACAGUCCCCGUGGCUGCAAGUCCUCACAAACCAGAAUGGGCAUGUUCCGGUGGAAAGGGAAGCAUUGUCUGCCUGGAAGAACCAGUCACCUCCAGUGGCUGGGAAUGUUUGUGCUUACCCACAGGGCAUGGGAAUGUAUGUGCUUACCUAGCCCAGAAGAGCUAGAGAGAAGAGCCUAGGUAUAAGACAAGGAGGCUUGUGGCAACUCCAAAGGGUCCCCUCUGGUUCUGGAGUGGAACUUACUAGAAAUGAAAGGGAAGUUAAUAGCUCCCUCAUCAGGGAUCUCAAUGUGUGUUUAGGUCCAGAAAAUCAAGGUUCUGGGUGCUCUGAUGGCAACUGUGCUGAGUGUGGCUGUCUGAACGCACCAGGGCUCAUUUGCUGAGCUUUUGUUCCACCUUCCGUGUCAGUUUGGAGGUUUGUUUCUUCAUGCAAUUAUGUCAGGUUCAUUAUUUUUCUUGGGCAUAGAACACACUUCCAACCCACAUGUUGUGGUUUGAAUAUGUCCUCCAAAAAGCAUGUGUGGGAAACUUAGGCCCCAUGCAACAGUGUUGGGAGGUGGGGCCUAAUGGGAAGUGCUCAGGCCAUGAGGACUCUGCUUUCAUGAAUGGAGUAAUGCUGCUAUUCCAAGGGAGUGAGUUCCUUAUAAAAGGACAAGUUUGGCCCCCUUUUCCCACUUUCUUGUCCUCUCUUGCCCUUCCACCUUCUGCCAUGGAGUAAUGCAGCAAGAAGGCCUCGCCAGAUGCUGGUCCCUCGAUCUUGGACUUUCCAGUCUCCAGAACCACAAGCCAAUAAAUUCCUGUUGAUUAUAAAAUUA
This 3758-nucleotide long non-coding RNA is filed under the name Homo sapiens (human). RNAcentral's name for it is "long independently transcribed non-coding RNA 2937, transcript variant 1 (LINC02937)". Lineage: Eukaryota; Metazoa; Chordata; Mammalia; Primates; Hominidae. The record is from RNAcentral.